Molecule: long non-coding RNA, 220 nt
Filed under: Sorghum bicolor (sorghum)
Lineage: Eukaryota; Viridiplantae; Streptophyta; Magnoliopsida; Poales; Poaceae
Description: long non-coding RNA (SBIC_LNC000646)
Source: RNAcentral
CAAACUGGUCAAUAACACCCAAAGAAAUCCAUCUCAAAAAAAUCAUGAAAUCUACCAAAAGAGGCAAGUAAAAGGUAUUUGAGGGAGUAGCUUGUAAAAUAAGAAUUGUGCUUCAAAACAUGAUAUGAAAAGUUCCAAUGACCCAAAACACUCCAAAAUCAUACCAAAUCUCAACAACGCAAUAGAUAAAAAAACAUCAAAAAGAGAAAUAUUGUAUUCC